RNAcentral lists this transfer RNA (64 nucleotides) under uncultured eukaryote. It matches the Rfam family "tRNA", at positions 8 to 63 of the family's 71-position model. Rfam says of the family: Transfer RNA (tRNA) molecules are approximately 80 nucleotides in length. The record is from RNAcentral.
GGUUAGCUGAGUCGGUUAGAGCAUCAGACUGAUAAUCCGAGGGUCACCAGUUCAAGCCUAGUCC